GACCGAUACGAUGCGUCGGUGUCUCAAUAUCGUCGCAAAAUGCCCGUGCUUUGAGAUCUCAACAUAUUGAAAACAUUCAAAAAAUGUUUUUUAAGAUUGAUAAAACAUGUUAACAAAACAUUAUAUUAUGCUUACCUGGAACUACUUUAUCCAGAAUCAAUUGAGACUAAGAUGAUGAAAUGAAUGCUUAAGGAUGUCCAUUAUAAUUCCAUCAGAUAUUUAUCAUUGUAGUGAAAUGUUAUUUGAUAUGAUUUCUCUUUUAACAACACUGAUUUUGCAUUUUGAACUGAAAAGUGAUAUUUUGUUAUUCAUGUAGAAAAGCCCCAAUAUUAACAAUCGUAUGCUGUGCCUUACAUUGCUAUACCUGGUUGUUCUUUAAAUCAAUUUUAAACAUGAUAC
RNAcentral lists this long non-coding RNA (399 nucleotides) under Mytilus galloprovincialis (Mediterranean mussel). Lineage: Eukaryota; Metazoa; Mollusca; Bivalvia; Mytilida; Mytilidae. The record is from RNAcentral.